Molecule: long non-coding RNA, 44287 nt
Filed under: Triticum aestivum (bread wheat)
Lineage: Eukaryota; Viridiplantae; Streptophyta; Magnoliopsida; Poales; Poaceae
Description: long non-coding RNA (TAES_LNC015873)
Rfam family: MIR1120/MIR1122 microRNA precursor family (bases 43629-43753)
Source: RNAcentral
GGGAAAAAAGUUGAAGGAGGGUGUAAAGUACAACAUUGAGGCCACCAAAACUAAUGGCGAACCAAUAGCGGCUAAGAACAUGCCGAACAAGUUCGUUCGUCAGUGCGGAGUUCUGGUGAAGGACAAACUCUUGAUCUGCUGUCAGGACCCCGACUCAAUGCCACAUCGAUCUAGCAUGUAACACCUCAUAUCACUUUGCGGCCUCACGCACGGUAUUCCCACGGGUGUCGCCUUACCUUUGCCCGGGUCCGUUUGCGCCUUUUGGCACACGUAUAUGAUAGUGUCGCUAGCAUCCAUAUGAUAAGGACCCCGGCUGACAUGACUAGUCGUAAACCCAAAGUGGCACAGACUUACAGGGACAGGCAUCCAUGACCCAGCAUCGAACGUGUCGGUCAUCAGCAAGUGGGUCCGGGCUGUAGCACUGGGCUAGCAGGAUUCCGGUAAACCGGGCUGUAGCGGGCUAACAGGGCUCCGGUACUCAAUGCGUGACAUUUCCCCGAAGGGACAGACACAGGAACGAAGAAGGACACAUGCCAGCCAGCCUAAGUGUUCCGGAGCAGUAGCAAACUACCAUGGCUCAGUGGAAACACUAGGAGACAUUUCCCGGUAAGAGAGGCUACUAAAGAUAAACAACUAGAUAGUCAGAUCCCACACAUACCAAGCAUUUCAAUAACAUACACACAAUAUGCUCGAUAUGUGCAAAUACAGCAUGGCAUCACAACAUGACUCUACAACUCAAGUAUUUAUUCAUUAGGCUCCGAGGAGCGAGAUAUUACAAACAGGGGUCUCAUGACCCAACAUUCAGAGCAUACAAAUCAAAGCACAUGCGGAAGCUAUGAUGUCUGAGUACAGACAUCUAUAAAUGAAAAGGCUGAGAAGCCUGACUAUCUACCAAAUCCUGCCGAGGGCACAAGAUCGUAGCUGAGGUAACAAGCUAAACGUUGAAGUCCACAUGGAACUACUAGUGAGACUGAAGUCUCUCUCUGCAAAAACAUAAAUUAAGCAACGUGAGUACAAAUGUACCCAGAAAGACUUACAUCAGAACUAACUACAUAUGCAUCAUUAUCAACAAAGGGGAUGGUGGGGUUUAACUGCAGCAAGCCAGCUUUGACUCGGUGGCUAACCUGAACUACGACUGCAAGUAACUCUUUUGAGGUGGCGCACACGAGUCCACAUAUUCACCAUAUCAAUACACCACUAUGGAUCCGCUCCCAUCUCCCUACGAGAACGCCAUCCAUAGCACUCACGCUUAUCUUGCAUAUUUUAGAGUAUCCACUUUCACUUGUCUAUGAACUGAUAUAAGCAACCCAGAAGUCCAUUACCGCGGACACGGCUAUUCGAAUAGAUCAUAUUAACCCUGCAGAGGUGUUCUUCUUCACACACGCCCUCGCCACUUAUCGCUCUGUACACGUCAUGUACCUCGGCAACCUUCAAGCGGAAGUCGGGCGAGGGAGUCGGCCACGACCUGAAUAACCAUACAAGUCUCUCGUCCAGGUUUAUCGCCUAUUCGGGUUCCAUCCGCAAGGAGAUCCGGCCGGGGUGUCGCUCACGGCCCCAAACGAUGUGAGCAGGGUUCCCAAGCCCACCAUCCGGGUGCCACUUGGUACACCGUGCCACUGUGCCUAGUCUGUCCCAAGCCCACCUGUAUCGGGUGCCACUUGGUAGACUACUAACACUACCUACAAACACCAGAAACUAGUUGCAACUCCUGGACAGAGAUCAUGUUGAUUAAUAAGUCGAGAGGGGUCGAGUUACCGGAACCCAAUGUGUGGUAGUAACUGGUCAUGGAUCACAAACACAGAACUCAGUUCCUGAAGACGGCUGCAAUGAGACAACCCACCAUGUACUCCUACAUGGCCUCUCACCGCUACCUUUACCAAAUCGUGUUCACACACUUAGCUCUCAACGGUAGGACAUGUUCACACACCUCUGAUUCAUCCCCGAUGAAUCAGACCUGACUCAACUCUAAGCAGUAGCAGACAUGACAAACAAGCAUGAAUGAGUAGGCACAACAGGGCUCAAACAACUCCUACUCAUGCUAGUGGGUUUCAUCUAUUUACUGUGGCAAUGACAGGUCAUGCAGAGGAUAAAGGGGUUCAACUACCGCAGCAUGUAACAGUUGAAUCGGUGUUGUCCUAAUGUAGUAAAAGAGAGCAGGAGCGAGAGAGUGGGAUUGUAUCGGAAUGAACAAGGGGGUUUUCCUUGCCUGGCACUUCUGAAGAUAACAUUGAGUCUUCAUCAGUGUCAACGAUCACAUCAUCGGUACAGCGUCUACCGAGGGGGAACAACACCGGCAAACACAGAAGAAACACGAUCAAUGCAAUGCACAAUAUGAUGCAUGCUAUGACAUGGCAAUAUGAAUGUGUUUUGGGCUAAUGCAUCUAGCAACAGGUUAAAUGGGGUUGGUUUGAACACUAGGUUCAAAUUCAAACUCCAUAUGUGAGAGUUUAAAUGCCAUUUAAUUGAUUUGUGCUAAACAGCAGCUAUAAGUUGCUCUAACAUGCAUGAAAAUGGUACAGAUGGAUAGAUUGUAUUUUUCCGAUCAUUUUUCAUAUAUAAUUUAUUUCAUUUGGCGUUACGGUUGAAUUUCUAUGAUUUAUUGAAGUUUUGAACAUUUUCUGAAAAUAAUAAAUCAUUUAAGAUUUAUUUUAAAUUCCAGAAAGGAAUUAUUGCGUCAGCAUGACCUCAUAGUGACGUCAGCAGGUCAACGGCGCCAUCCAGGUCAAACCUGACGUGUGGGGGCCACACGUCAGUGACACAUGGCUGUUUAGCUCACUGACAGGUGGGACCAGGUCAACGGCCACGUCAGCGUAGUCAACACUGACGCGUGGGCCCACCGGGGUUAGUUAAACUAAGCAGAAAAUGUAAUUUGUGUUAAUUAGGGCGUGGNNNNNNNNNNNNNNNNNNNNNNNNNNNNNNNNNNNNNNNNNNNNNNNNNNNNNNNNNNNNNNNNNNNNNNNNNNNNNNNNNNNNNNNNNNNNNNNNNNNNNNNNNNNNNNNNNNNNNNNNNNNNNNNNNNNNNNNNNNNNNNNNNNNNNNNNNNNNNNNNNNNNNNNNNNNNNNNNNNNNNNNNNNNNNNNNNNNNNNNNNNNNNNNNGGCGCCUGGAGGUAGCCCACGCUCCCGCGCAUCCAGCGGAGGCAGGGGCAGGUCACGGGGUGGUCGGAGCUCGCCGGAAGUGAGCUCGCGGCGGCGCCGGAGUUCGGGUGAGUGCGGGGUUGGUGCUGUGGUGCACGGGAGGGCGAGUUAGAAUAUGCGUUAGGCUCCUGGUGGCUUCCUGAGUGCGGUGACAUGCUCCGAAUCAAGCUCAAGCGGCUGAAGUGACGGCGGCGACGAGGUCAGCGGCGGCCGGAGUUCGGCCGCGACGGAGCUAUGGCCUAGAGCUCGCAAACGCGAGGGGAAAGAGAGGGGUUCUGCACGGAGGCUCACAGCGGGGUCGAUGAGCAGCUCGGUGGUCUCGGGGAGGCGUCGGAGGCGGCGAAUCGACCGCGGCGAUCGCCGGACAGAUGCGGCGAUGAAGGCGGCAGGGACGACGCUGCGGUGCACCUGGCGUCACGUGAGUUGGUGGAGACGAAGAGGAAGGCGCGGCGGUUCUUCUGGAAGCAUCGGCGAGGCGAGGGGUGGACAUUGGCCGCGGUGGAGCUCGUCGGUGCUCUCGGGUGCUCGUGGUCGAUCGNNNNNNNNNNNNNNNNNNNNNNNNNNNNNNNNNNNNNNNNNNNNNNNNNNNNNNNNNNNNNNNNNNNNNNNNNNNNNNNNNNNNNNNNNNNNNNNNNNNNNNNNNNNNNNNNNNNNNNNNNNNNNNNNNNNNNNNNNNNNNNNNNNNNNNNNNNNNNNNNNNNNNNNNNNNNNNNNNNNNNNNNNNNNNNNNNNNNGAGGAGGAGGGGGUCCAGAGCGAGGGGGGGAAUCAGGGGGAGUGCCGUGGCGUCUCCACGCGUGGACAGGCUCGAAGGGGAGGCCUCCAGCGUGAAGCAGGAGGUGGCCGGCGUCGACACGCGUGCGUCCAGCACGCAGCUGCUUCGGGGCGAGGGGGAGGAAGAUGACUGGUAGCUGGGCUCCACAGUAACGGGCCGCGCAGGAGCUGGGUUGGUUGGUGGCGCCAGGUAGGUAAGGGUCCAGGUGAGUCUCUAUUCUUUCUAUUUUUUUUGUUUCUGUUUUCUAAUUUUGCAGUUUUGUUUUAAUUUGGUUUCUUAACCAGAUUAUUUUUGCAGCUCUCUGGAAAUUAUUGUGGAUGCAUUAAGGUUUAUCCUAGAGCUCCACAAAAUAUUCCAGGAUCAUUGGAGCAAUAAAAAUAUUUAUAGAAUUUAUUUGCUCCAACUCAAAUACAAUUAUGAAUUAAUUCAAAAACCACAAAUGCAUUGGAAAAAUGUGCAUGACCUCUGAUUAAGGUUUUAACCUUUUUCCAGAAAUAAUGAACAUUUUUGGAGGGCAUUUUGGGUCCAAUGAAAAUAUUUGAAUUGAACCUAGUUAAAAUUAUUAUCUGGUAGGGUUUGAACAUCCCCAUUUCAAGUUUAAGAAAAAUUUAAACAUGAUGCACACAUGAAGCUAUCCUAGUGCAAUACCAGAAGCUAGGGAUGUGACAACUCACCCCCACUAAACAAGAAUCUCGUCCCGAGAUUCAAGCGUAGGGUAAGAUGAUGGGGGAACACAACUAACGCAAUCUUCACGGUCCAUGUUGUACUUCAAAUGAACGUUGAUUUGAUCCUCAUCUUUGUCCUGUCAUCUUGCUCUGAGAACUCCAGCCAAUAUGACAACGAGAGGAGAAGGGGACUCUAGAAGGAUCGAUCUUCUCGAAGAUCGAACAACUCAGGAUCAACUCAUGGGACAAGACAUUGACACAUCUCUCGAGCUGAGACACGAAGCACACAUCUAGAGGGAUGGAGUGAAACGGAUGACGAAGGUUCACUAGGUAGGCAACAAUUCCACACCUAAGAGGGUGGUGAACGGUUGUCAACGUAGCGAGGAGUUAAGUUGACAUGACACCAUAAUGAUGCACCUUAGGAAAGGUGACUCGUAGAAAUAUCCCCUUAAGUGGCAAAAAGAAUUACCUUUGAUUCAAAGAUCAUUGGAACUCUUUAUACCAGCUAAGGCAAUCACAAGCGAUCAUUUGGAGGGGGUCGGUAGAAUGGCAUACCCGGACUUGGAUGAUGUGGAUUACCUUGUUGAAGACAACGUAAUGGAUGAAUUUGCUUACCACCACAAAUGGAAGAGACCCAUGGUAGAAUGGCACAUUGGCGGUGCAAGCUGGGAACAAAAUGCAAAUGCUGGGAAUGAUUCUGGUAACUAGGGAAGAACCCGACAAUAGAGAGUGAAUUCACUGUUUGAAAAGGUCAUAGCAUUGCCGAGGAAACUGAGAGGAAUCCCAGUUAGUGCCGAUGAUAACACGUAGCGCUUGUGCGUGCUCUCAAGAACUUGAGCAUCUCCAUAUUCAUCAAGGUUUUACCAACAUCAAUGACAAGGAUCCUGGCAACACCACUUACUACCAUGAUGAAUGGUGAUGGAGGAUGCCGAUGCAUAGGAAGAUAACAUCAACUCAGAUUCCACCCUAGCAAGGCCAAGGAGACAAAAUCUGGACGAUCGACCGAGAGACAUUUAGCACUCCGCUCCUAAUGUUCUCCUUGAUGUGCUAGCAUAUCCCAUUCAUUGAAAUGGUUUGGUAACUAGACAUCAAGUAAAAGGUCGGACUUCGGGAACACAAAAAUCAUAAGGCACAACUAGGGAGUAAAUCCUACGAAGUCCUUAUGGGAAGGUGGCCAACUUCUUCAAUCAAGAUACUACAAUAAUAGGUCUUCCGGCUGGGUGUGUUGGCCAUGACAUCCACUUUACCGGUUAUCGAGGGACCAGUAUUAUAGUUCUUGGGAAAUGUUCCAACCAUCAUAUCUGCCUGAGAUUCAGAUCUGGUUGGUGUCAGGAUAUUCCAGACUCAUCGAGUCUAGGAAGAAAAAAGAAAGUUUGCAACACAAUUUGACGAGAUGACAUUGCGAGAUUCUCGGGAAAUGAACUACGAUAGCAAGCUCCAAAACAUGAGCUGGUUCUGCUACACACGUGUGAACACGCUGUCCCAGACAACAUGAUCACAUGGUAGUCUUAUAAUAAAAACACUACCGAGUUCUAGUAGGGAAUCAUCAACGUGGAUAACAAAGUCCUUGCAUAAGUCAUAUGAUUAGCUCUUAUGAAGGAACUUCUUCUCCUUGAACAAAUCAAUCAGUGGCUUGGUGUGCUCGGGACACAUAUGGAAUGAAGGUUGCAAGUCUCCAGACCACAGAAUACUUCGCACGUGUGCAUGACUGACUUGGGAUGAUUCCAGAGAAAGCAAAACUAACUUUCUCAAAUUCACGGCGGCAACUUUCACGAAAUGCACGUGUAUAAGAGGAAGUCACUUCUUUCAUCCGAACAUAUGCUUCAUGAACGGAACACGAAGAUAAUGCAUAUAUAAGUUUCCAACACUAGCUUAAUGUUCAACAAAAUUAUGGACAAGAUAAAAAUGUUGCUGAUGGACUCAACAACAAUUCAUCCAGGUUUCCAUAUAAGUGGAAUUCCACAAUUAUGUGAACAAGGUGAUAGCAUUGGUCAGACCAAAAAGAUAUAAUGGUGUAUGCUCGAGGGACAGCCACGAGUAAGACAACAUUACGAACAUCGUUGGUUCUGAUUUGAUUUAACGAUAGCCCAUACUCAAAGCAAAGGUUUUAUAAGAUAAUAGGUCCAACAACUGAUCACAGGGACUAAUCAAUGAAGAUAUCAUCUUUCUUCAACUAACACACCAAUACCAGGAUAUCCCUUGGAAACGACUAAGUUAGGUAAGCUUUUAUCUUCCAACUCUCCAAGUUGUCGUUUAGCUUAACCAACUAGCUUAGGGGUAUCCAACACGGAUUCUUGGAGAAGGGGUGGUUUAUAAAAAAAACCAACUUGAUCACGAGCUCAACAUAACAGUCAGAUGACGACCUGGUGAUACUACCGAGAAGAUAUUCGGAAAAUCACGAACCACCGAUAUGCUACUAAACUUGAGAACAAUCUUGCUUUUUAGGGCAAGACGAUAUGAUCAAAAGAGCGAGGGACCGAUACGAUCCCAACUCAUUGAUUGAAGAGUGUACCCGGAAAUAAGGACUAGGUAGCACAAUCUAUCUUAGAAUGACGAUUCGAGAUCCAACACGCUAAGAAUGAAAUUAUUGUCCUUUACUACCAAGUAACAAGGUUUCUAGGAGGAUUGAUUUCACACAUCAUAGUUGACAUGUCGGCAUUCUGGUUGCAGCAACAUGGGGACUGAGGAGUGAAUAAUGAUGGAGAGAGUAUCAAUGUAUCGAGAGUUCAUAGGAUGGUGUGCAAUUCCCAUGAUAUUCCUGAUAUAAAGAUGGUAAUACUCCAAGGUAGAACAGAACAAAAGUUGGAUUAGCAACUUGAUCUGCAGAGUACAACUGCUUUGACCCAAUCCUAGAUAUGGAUGAGGUACUGGAGUUCAUUUCUCCUAGUCAUCCUGGAUAGAAUGGCUUAACAGACCACAAGAUUAAAAAGCAUCGAUGAACGAAUGCACAUAUACUCUUGACUAUCAAUUGAUAGACGAGGGUCAGAAGACAACUAGAGCGGGACAACUCAAAGGAACAUACGAUUUUCUGAGUUGUGGAUGCAUGGUUUAGCAUGUCGAAUGAAGUUCAACAUAUUUCUUCCGGAUAACCCAUGUAGAGAGGUAGAACUGGCAGAAUCACAAUAUAGAAUGGAGAACUCAUCAAAAGCACUCUAGUUGUGAUCUUUUGGUUCAAAAGAACUCCUGCCAAGAAUGGUUCAUGGUAUUUGUAAGAACGAUAUACCACGGACCUCGAGGACUAUCGCAAAGGUUACUAAUAACCUAAAGGAACGAGCAAACACUAUCAACAUGAAGUAAGUAGGGUGGAUCUUGGGUCAAGAACCCGGGAAUAAAAUGCCUACUAACUAAGUGGCAUCACGGGAUGCUUUCGAGAAUGAUGGCCAGAAUCAUCACACUAGAACACAAAACAUGGCUAGAUCACUAGGUAAUACUCCAAGACACCUAGGGCCAUAAUCAUAAUUCCAACAUAUAUGUCAAGGCAAUAGAGUACCUCAACUCAACAAUUAGUGUGAUUAACCUGGCCCAAAGGAACAUCAGGAACAGGAGGAAGGGAUUUCCAAAUGCUUCAGACUAUUAAGAAACAUGGGAUGACUCGGACAACAUAACGGCUGUAAAUGCUCAGAAAAGAUUUGAGACAUUCAGAAAAAUGGUGGCAUAACCACUCGGAAGCACAAUAUCAAGGUUUCGAGAUCAACAGUUAACAUACGGAAGUAGUAGAAACUGAAUAGAGGCUUAAGUCCAACAAUUCUAUAAGUCUACGGAUUAGUAACACGUGAUCCUAAUAGAAAGAAGAGAUAGCCUAGUUCUUAAUCCCCGUAGAAGAGAAGAGGAUGACUCAGAUCAGAGGGCCAUAAGGUAUAAGGAGUAAAAAGAGCCUUACGUUCCAUCCCACAAUCAAUUCCCUUAUAUAACUAAAGCAUUUCUAGACUCAACUUCGACCAGUUUGGCUUGGUAAUCCUACAGGCAGUCAAGCUCUGAUACCAAAGCUGUCAGGACCCCGACUCAAUGCCACAUCGAUCUAGCAUGUAACACCUCAUAUCACUUUGCGGCCUCACGCACGGUAUUCCCACGGGUGUCGCCUUACCUUUGCCCGGGUCCGUUUGCGCCUUUUGGCACACGUAUAUGAUAGUGUCGCUAGCAUCCAUAUGAUAAGGACCCCGGCUGACAUGACUAGUCGUAAACCCAAAGUGGCACAGACUUACAGGGACAGGCAUCCAUGACCCAGCAUCGAACGUGUCGGUCAUCAGCAAGUGGGUCCGGGCUGUAGCACUGGGCUAGCAGGAUUCCGGUAAACCGGGCUGUAGCGGGCUAACAGGGCUCCGGUACUCAAUGCGUGACAUUUCCCCGAAGGGACAGACACAGGAACGAAGAAGGACACAUGCCGGCCAGCCUAAGUGUUCCGGAGCAGUAGCAAACUACCAUGGCUCAGUGGAAACACUAGGAGACAUUUCCCGGUAAGAGAGGCUACUAAAGAUAAACAACUAGAUAGUCAGAUCCCACACAUACCAAGCAUUUCAAUAACAUACACACAAUAUGCUCGAUAUGUGCAAAUACAGCAUGGCAUCACAACAUGACUCUACAACUCAAGUAUUUAUUCAUUAGGCUCCGAGGAGCGAGAUAUUACAAACAGGGGUCUCAUGACCCAACAUUCAGAGCAUACAAAUCAAAGCACAUGCAGAAGCUAUGAUGUCUGAGUACAGACAUCUAUAAAUGAAAAGGCUGAGAAGCCUGACUAUCUACCAAAUCCUGCCGAGGGCACAAGAUCGUAGCUGAGGUAACAAGCUAAACGUCGAAGUCCACAUGGAACUACUAGUGAGACUGAAGUCUCUCUCUGCAAAAACAUAAAUUAAGCAACGUGAGUACAAAUGUACCCAGAAAGACUUACAUCAGAACUAACUACAUAUGCAUCAUUAUCAACAAAGGGGAUGGUGGGGUUUAACUGCAGCAAGCCAGCUUUGACUCGGUGGCUAACCUGAACUACGACUGCAAGUAACUCUUUUGAGGUGGCGCACACGAGUCCACAUAUUCACCAUAUCAAUACACCACUAUGGAUCCGCUCCCAUCUCCCUACGAGAACGCCAUCCAUAGCACUCACGCUUAUCUUGCAUAUUUUAGAGUAUCCACUUUCACUUGUCUAUGAACUGAUAUAAGCAACCCAGAAGUCCAUUACCGCGGACACGGCUAUUCGAAUAGAUCAUAUUAACCCUGCAGGGGUGUUCUUCUUCACGCACGCCCUCGCCACUUAUCGCCCUGUACACGUCAUGUACCUCGGCAACCUUCAAGCGGAAGCCGGGCGAGGGAGUCGGCCACGACCUGACUAACCAUACAAGUCUCUCGUCCAGGUUUAUCGCCUAUUCGGGUUCCAUCCGCAAGGAGAUCCGGCCGGGGUGUCGCUCACGGCCCCAAACGAUGUGAGCAGGGUUCCCAAGCCCACCAUCCGGGUGCCACUUGGUACACCGUGCCACUGUGCCUAGUCUGUCCCAAGCCCACCUGUACCGGGUGCCACUUGGUAGACUACUAACACUACCUACAAACACCAGAAACUAGUUGCAACUCCUGGACAGAGAUCAUGUUGAUUAAUAAGUCGAGAGGGGUCGAGUUACCGGAACCCAAUGUGUGGUAGUAACUGGUCAUGGAUCAGAAACACAGAACUCAGUUCCUGAAGACGGCUGCAAUGAGACAACCCACCAUGUACUCCUACAUGGCCUCUCACCGCUACCUUUACCAAAUCGUGUUCACACACUUAGCUCUCGACGGUAGGACAUGUUCACACACCUCUGAUUCAUCCCCGAUGAAUCAGACCUGACUCAACUCUAAGCAGUAACAGGCAUGACAAACAAGCAUGAAUGAGUAGGCACAACAGGGCUCAAACAACUCCUACUCAUGCUAGUGGGUUUCAUCUAUUUACUGUGGCAAUGACAGGUCAUGCAGAGGAUAAAGGGGUUCAACUACCGCAGCAUGUAACAGUUGAAUCGGUGUUGUCCUAAUGUAGUAAAAGAGAGCAGGAGCGAGAGAGUGGGAUUGUAUCGGAAUGAACAAGGGGUUUUUGCUUGCCUGGCACUUCUGAAGAUAACAUUGAGUCUUCAUUAGUGUCAACGAUCACAUCAUCGGUACAGCGUCUACCGAGGGGGAACAACACCGGCAAACACAGAAGAAACACGAUCAAUGCAAUGCACAAUAUGAUGCAUGCUAUGACAUGGCAAUAUGAAUGUGUUUUGGGCUAAUGCAUCUAGCAACAGGUUAAAUGGGGUUGGUUUGAACACUAGGUUCAAAUUCAAACUCCAUAUGUGAGAGUUUAAAUGCCAUUUAAUUGAUUUGUGCUAAACAGCAGCUAUAAGUUGUUCUAACAUGCAUGAAAAUGGUACAGAUGGAUAGAUUGGAUUUUUCUGAUCAUUUUUCAUAUAUAAUUUAUUUCAUUUGGAGUUACGGUUGAAUUUCUAUGAUUUAUUGAAGUUUUGAACAUUUUCUGAAAAUAAUAAAUCAUUUAAGAUUUAUUUUAAAUUCCAGAAAGGAAUUAUUGCGUCAUCAUGACCUCAUAGUGACAUCAGUAGGUUAACGGCGCCGUCCAGGUCAAACCUGACGUGUGGGGGCCACACGUCAGUGACACAUGGCUGUUUAGCUCACUGACAGGUGGGACCAGGUCAACGGCCACGUCAGCGUAGUCAACACUGACGCGUGGCCCAUCGGGGUUAGUUAAACUAAGCAGAAAAUGUAAUUUGUGUUAAUUAGGGCGUGGGUCCCAUUAGUAAGUGGCCUAGGGGGUUGGUUAGUGUGUGGGGGGGGGGGUUAGCCGCUAACGACGGCCACGUCGGAUUCGCCGGCGGUUAGAUGACGGCUACGACCCAGAGCGGCGGUGGCUCGCCGGAGUGGCGCCAGGGGCCGCAGCUGAGGGUGCUGAGGGCGCCUGGAGGUAGCCCAUGCUCCCGCGCAUCUAGCGGAGGCAGGGGCAGGUCACGGGGUGGUCGGAGCUCGCCGGAAGUGAGCUCGCGGCGGCGCCGGAGUUCAGGUGAGUGCGGGGUUGGCGCUGUGGUGCACGGGAGGGCAGUUAGAAUAUGCGUUAGGCUCCUGGUGGCUUCCUGAGUGCGGUGACACACUCCGAAUCAAGCUCAAGCAGCUGCAGUGACGGCGGCGACGAGGUCAGCGACGGCCGGAGUUCGGCCGCGACGGAGCUAUGGCCUAGAGCUCGCAAACGCGAGGGGAAAGAGAGGGGUUCUACACGGAGGCUCACAGUGGGGUCGAUGAGCAGCUCGGUGGUCUCGGGGAGGCGUCGGAGGCGGCGAAUCGACCGCGGCGAUCGCCGGACAGAUGCGGCGAUGAAGGCGGCAGGGACGACGCUGCGGUGCACCUGGCGUCACGUGAGUUGGUGGAGACGAAGAGGAAGGCGCGGCGGUUCUUCUGGAAGCAUCGGCGAGGCGAGGGGUGGACAUUGGCCGCGGUGGAGCUCGUCGGUGCUCUCGGGUGCUCGUGGUCGAUCGCGAGAGAGAGAGAGCAGAGGAGGAGGAGGGGGUCCAGAGCGAGGGGGGAAUCAGGGGGAGUGUCGUGGCGUCUCCACGCAUGGACAGGCUCGAAGGGGAGGCCUCCAGCGCGAAGCAGGAGGUGGCCGGCGUCGACGCGCGUGCGUCCAGCACGCAGCUGCUUUGGGGCGAGGGGGAGGAAGAUGACUGGCAGCUGGGCUGCACAGUAACGGGCCGCGCAGGAGCUGGGCUGGUUGGUGGCGCCAGGUAGGUAAGGGUCCAGGUGAGUCUCUGUUCUUUCUAUUUUUUUUUUGUUUCUGUUUUCUAAUUUUGCAGUUUCGUUUUAAUUUGGUUUCUUAACCAGAUUAUUUUUGCAGCUCUCUGGAAAUUAUUGUGGAUGCAUUAAGGUUUAUCCUAGAGCUCCACAAAAUAUUCCAGGAUCAUUGGAGCAAUAAAAAUAAUUAUAGAAUUUAUUUGCUCCAACUCAAAUACAAUUAUGAAUUAAUUCAAAAACCACAAAUGCAUUGGAAAAAUGUGCAUGACCUCUGAUUAAGGUUUUAACCUUUUUCCAGAAAUAAUGAACAUUUUUGGAGGGCAUUUUGGGUCCAAUGAAAAUAUUUGAAUUGAACCUAGUUAAAAUUAUUAUCUGCUAGGGUUUGAACAUCCCCAUUUCAAGUUUAAGAAAAAUUUAAACAUGAUGCACACAUGAAGCUUUCCUAGUGCAAUACCAAAAGCUAGGGAUGUGACAUCUGCCUUCAACAAUGGAAAAAGCCAUCAAAGCCCCAUCCAGAUCUUACUUUUGUCGAUGAUAGAGCAAAAAUGCGCUUUGGGAAGAACUCAUGGAACAUUUCACCCUACCAGAUCAUUUCAUAGCUGCAGAUGUGGAGAAAGUCAAGGAUGCUGCUCUUAGGAAGAUGGCAAUUGCAUUCAACAACCAUAAGAAAACUGUAUGGAAGGACUACCUCAAAGCAGGAAAGAAGACUCCAGAAUUCAAGGGAACACUGGAGAAAAGAGAACACUGGGACGAUUUCGUGAAAUUCAAGGAAUAAGGAUUAUCUAAGGAACGGUCCAGAAAAAACAAGGCCAAUGCCGCCAAAAAGGAGCAAUUCCAUAGGCUGGGGCCAGGUGGCUACGCGGUGGCAAUGCCUAAGUGGGAUAAGUCUGAACAAGUGAUGCUGGCUGCACAGGUCACUCCAGUUACAUUGAGUUGGCCCCCCAGGUGCAGAAGUUGGUUCUAUGCGCAUGGGGGGGCGUUGGACCCGAAGACAGGCUUGGUUUCGAAGAAGGCAUGUAUUGAAGGAGCCGUUGAAAAGUUAGUUGAAGCAAUAGAAGAGGCUCGAAAGGGGGUGUUCACACCCAACAGAGAGAACGACGAGCUUACACGCGCCCUAGGAAAUCCUGAACACCCGUGAAGAACACGAGGCAAGGGCGUUGUUCCGUGGUAUGAGGGCUUUUCUGAGUGGAACGCCGACUAUAGAAGCCGUGCGAGAAGGAAGAUGGAGGAGGAGAAGAAGAAGAAGCUAGAGGACGAGCGAGGAAGCAGGAACUAGAACGGCUUCAAGGCCUAGAAUCAGCGCACGCGGACUUGGCACUCAAAUUCCAGAGGCAGCAGGAGCAGAUCGACUCGCUUAGCCAGGAAAGGGGGUCUCAACAGCGGCCGCAGCUAGCGCAUGAUCCAGCAUUGGAUAGCACCGUCCCAUCCAUGCGGAGAAGCAGCAUGGGCUCCGCCCCGGGCGACGCACUGAUGGAUAGACACCCUGUGGAUGACAUCAAGGAGAACACUAACUGUGAGUUACACUUCAAAGUAAAGAACAUAUCCGUGAAGGCGGCGGAUGCCGUUGCUUAUACAACCCCCCCCCCCCGGAGCAACCUACCAUUGCAGAACGAUUCCAGCCGGCUAUGCUCGUGUCGUGGUUGAUGAGGUGGUGGACCAUUAUUCAGGGCUACAACUUGACAUUCCUGGAGGUGACGAGGAGCACACACUGGGAGAGGCCAUACAUCGUAUCAUCCUAUGGAGAAAGGAUUGCAUCAUCUUUCCAAGGCCACCGACACCGCGUCAGCUAGAGCUUGAAAUUCCAGGAGGUGACGAGGAGCAGAUGACUCACGCUCCUCCAACGCGUGAGGCCACUCCUCCUNNNNNNNNNNNNNNNNNNNNNNNNNNNNNNNNNNNNNNNNNNNNNNNNNNNNNNNNNNNNNNNNNNNNNNNNNNNNNNNNNNNNNNNNNNNNNNNNNNNNNNNNNNNNNNNNNNNNNNNNNNNNNNNNNNNNNNNNNNNNNNNNNNNNNNNNNNNNNNNNNNNNNNNNNNNNCCUCCUGCUUCAACUCAGCCAUUGUGUGAGGCCACUCCUCCUGCUUCAACUCAGCCAACGCGUGAGGCCACUCCUCCUCCUUCAAAUCAGCCAAUGCGUGAGGCCACUCCUCCUCCUCCAAGUCCACCAACGCGUGCCACUCCUCCUCCAAGUCCGACACCACGUCAGCCGUCUCCGCUGCCUCAGCAAUCACGGAAGAGAGCCGCCACAGCUAUGGUGCAUAGUGCUACAAGUCGAGGUAGUACAGGAGGUACAGGCAGAGGCAAGCGAUUUCAAUAUGGUCCAAAAAGCCCCACGCCUCUUCCGCAGAGGCCUUACGACAUGACCAAGGAGCAAAACAAUGCCAUAGUGAAGGCCCAAGUGGAGGCCCAUUUCGCACCAAAACCGGCACCGCCGCCAAGGGAGAAAGUGCUGAGGAGAAGAUUGACCACUUUAUUCGUAUGGCGCGACCACCAGCUCCCAAGCCCGUUGACUCAGACUAUGAGAGCCAAAUCAGGAAGGCACAUCGAGCACGACAACAGGGGUCGAGCUCGAGCUCGAGCCAAGCAGCUGGCCAAAAAUGCGGGAAAACUGUUCCCCAGCUAAGAGAAUAGGCGGUGCAAUCGAUCCCCCCGCUUGUUGUACCAACACAUGAGAGUACCGGUGCCGGUCAGCUGGUAAUAAUCGAGGAGCAUAGACGAAAUGCUGAAAUGCUUGGCAUCACUGUUGGACAACUCCUCGAGAUUGAGCCCAUGCCUAAGCUUAAAGAGGAGGAGAUAAAAUGGAAAUAUGCCCGCGGCCAACCUUUGAUAAGGCCUGAGGAGGUCAAGAACCUCCCAACGAGAAUGUAUCAAUUGCAUGAUUGGUACAUGAAAAUUACCAAGAGUAGCAAUUGAGAGGGCCUCAUGGUGAAAGUCAAGGAAGAGUAUUACUUCCAUAAGCUAGCUCUGUCCAUUGAGUAUUCAGAACUAUUUCAGUUAUUCCAUCAAGAUGCACUCGACAAAUCCGUCGCCAGUUUGUAUUGUCUGUAAGUGAUUUCUUUCUGUAUUUCAAGUCUCAAGAUAGCUGAGUGCUCAUUCAUCGAUCAUUACAUGUAAUUAUCCUCACUAUAUUCUUUUCUAUGGUAUAUUAUGCAGGAUGAAGAUGUAUGAAAUGAAAAAAGCUGGAUGCUAUGGCAUUGGGUUCAUUGACCCAUAUACCAUUAAUGAAGAAACAUGGUCAUAUGCAUGGUAUCAAACAGAGGUAGAGAAAAACAUGCUAGAGUUCUUGAAGCGCCUCAAUACCAAUGAACAUAUACUACUUCCUUACAACUACACAUGAGUCACACUGUCUUGUACUACAAAUUUUGUUUUUACUUACUAGCCAGCUAGAUAUUAAUAAUUAAGUGUAUAGGGUUUAGGGUAGUUGAUGAGGGUUAUGCACAUGCCCGCUUAAUUAAGACAUGCAAACAUGUGUGCAUGCAGUUACCAUUGGAUCUUGUUAAUCAUUAAAGUUGACGAAGGAACAGUUGAAGUACUGGACUCGCUACUUAAAGAGAAGAGAGAGUACACAACCGUGAAGGGGAUAGUCGACAGGUAAUUUCAAUCAUUAUUAACUAUAUGUCGGCCUCUUUAGUUCGUCAUUUCCUGAUAUCAACUAUUUAAUAACUCGUUUAUUCAUUUUCUUCGCCGGCGGGCAGGGCUUGGGCAAAGUUCAGGAAUUCGAAAGAGGUUCCAGGCGAAUGGAGAGAAAGGCUGCAUUGGUUUCGACCCAAGGUAUAAUUAAUUAAGUAGUACUAUCUUACCAUGCAUCUCUUUAAUUGUAGUUUCAAUACCAUUAAUUAUCAUGCUUGAUUAAUUAUUAUCUGAUUAAAUUCUAUUAUCGUAAAGGCCCUGAAGCAGGCGCAGGGGAGAGAUCAUUGUGCAUACUGCGUUUUUGAGAACAUUCACAUGAUGACAUUCGAAAGGACCAAAACUGAGAGACAGCUAUGGGUACGCGCGUUUGAUAGAACACUAUUCAUAAUUUUUACGUCAUUAUUGAUAUCUAGUCACAUAACUAAUACACAUGCAUAUUGAUCUCCUUCUUAACAGUUCGAAUCGGUGCGGGAGACGUUCCUACCAGUGGAGCGCAUACGAGCACUUCAAGAGGAAAUAGCGGGAUUUUUGCUCGACAAGGUCAUAGAUCCCAAAGGGGAAUUCUACUACCCGCUACCGCCCCAAUGAACUACUCCCAAUUGUCAUCGUGCUCCGAAGGCACCAAGGCAAAUGCCACUGGCUCUGAAAGGCUACAUGUAGGAAAAAUUGUAAUAUAUAUAUAUAUAUAUAUAUAUAUAUAUAUGCAUGUGUAUGUGUGAAUUAAUGGUGCGGUUGUGAGACAUUCGAUGAUAUAUAAUCGGUUCUACGAGAAAUUCUGUUUAUAUAUAUGCAUAAUGUGUACAAUAUGUAGUAUCGUAAAAUACCAACAAACAAAAAAGAAUUAAAUAGAAAACACAAAAUUAAAGGAAAAAUAAAUAAUAAAACCCAAACCCCCCAAACAUUUUAGUACCGGUUGGUAACACCAACCAGUACUAAAGCUCUCCCCACUCCCCGGCCCUGGCUCGUGCCACGUGGUGGCCCUUUAGCUGCGGUUCGAGCCAAACCGGUACUAAGGGGGGGGGGCUUUAGUACCCACCCUUUAGUGCCGGUUACAGAACCGGCACUAAAGCCCCUUACGAACCGGGGGUAUAGCCCGGUUGUGCACUAGUGUAAAAAGAAUGUGUUGAAAGGCUAACACAGUGCACCUAAGCUAGUGCUACAGUGGCCCAGCCCACCCAUCCUACAGUGGCCCAGCCCACCUCCCCUCAUCUCCCUCCUCACGCUACAGGAGGCAGAGGAGGGUGUGGCACGCAUCCGAGCCACCUUGGGCAUGGAUGGCCUCCACGUUGCCCCCCAUGACCUAUAAAUGCGUCCAUCGUAAACCCUAGCCUGCUCUUGAUUGAUCCCCUCUUAUUCCCCCAUCGUGCCCCCCUCAUCUACUCGAGAACGAGCUACUAAACACGUGCGGUGACCGCGAACGCCGCCACCAUUGUCGCGGCCGCCGUCGCCCCGGCGCCCUGCGGACGUAUCUAGAAGCUCCACCAUCAUUUGCCUCUUCGCCUUCGUCCAUUGGAUCCUACCAGACUUGACCGCGUCGUUGGGAUCGAGCUUCUUCUUCAACUUCGGCCACCGUCAUCCACCAAGUCGAUCCACCGACGCCGCUGCAUCAUCGUCUUCACCGAGACCUCCCCGGCUUCUCCGAGUCGCCCACGACCUCCCCAGUGAGCACCUGGGUCGAUUUCCCCUCUCCCCCCUUGUUUUUCAUCUCUGUACGGUCCGCCCCACGGUCGCCUCGACCGCGUCCGAGCUCGCAGUCGCCGUCCUAUGUCUACGCGUGUUCACGCUAUAGCCACACGCCUGCUGGCCCCCGCACCCCCCUUCGCCUUGACCUGCUCCCGCCAUGCCCUCCUUUGCCGGCCAUCACAUCACCCACCGGUGCCCGCACCUCUCCUGCUACCGGACGCUACUCCUACUUCUGCCACCAGCUUCUGCUACUGCUGCUUUGCUGGUUGCUGCUACACUGCCAUAGCUGCUGCUGCUCCCUCCUCUCAUUCCCUGCUGCUGCUUGAUACGUCCAUUUUGCAUCAUGUUUUCUUACUGUUAUUUAUAAUGUUUUUAUCCAUAAUAAUGCUUUUUGGAGUAAUUCUAAUGCCUUUUCUCUCAUAAUUUGCAAGGUACACACCAAGAGGGAGAAUUCUAGUAGCUGGAAAUCUGGACCUGAAAAAUCUACGUCAGGCUACCUGUUGUGCACAACUCCAAACAAGCUGAAACUUCACGAAUUUUUUUAAUGGAAUAUUUAAGAAAUGUGGAGCAAAUAACUACCAGAGGGGGCCCACCAGGUGGGCACAACCCACCUGGGCGCGCCAGGGAGCCCAGGCGCCCCCUGGUGCGUUGUGCCCUCCUCGGCCCACCUCCGGUGCCCAUCUUCUGGUAUAUAAGUCAUUUUGACCUAGAAAAAAAUAAAGGGAGAGAAUUUAGGGAUGGAGCGCCACCGUCUUGAGGCAGAACUUGGGCAUGAGCACUUUUGCUCUCCGGCGGAUGAUACGCCUCCAACGUAUCUAUAAUUUUUGAUUGCUCCAUGCUACUUUAUCUACUGUUUUAGGCAAUAUUGGGCUUUAUUAUCCACUUUUAUAUUAUUUUUGGGACUAACCUAUUAACCGGAGGCCCAACCCAGAUUUGCUGUUUUAUGCCUAUUUCAGUGUUUCGAGGAAAAGGAAUAUCAGACGGAGUCAAAACGGAACGAAAUCAACUGGAGAAGUUAUUUUUGGAAGGAAAGCCACCCGAUGGACUUGGAGUGCAUGUCAGGGAAGAAGGGAGGUGCCCACGAGGGUGGGGGGCGCGCCCCCUACCUCGUGCCCCCCCUUCGGUCCACCGACGUACCCCUUCCACCCAUAUAUACCUACGUACCCCAAAACUUCCAGAACAGAAGAUAGAUCGGGAGUUCUGCCGCCACAAGUCUCUGUAGCCACCAAAAACCUCUCAGGAGCCCUUCCCGGCACCCUGCCGGAGGGGGGAUCCCAUCAUCGGUGGCCAUCUUCAUCAUCCCGGCGCUAUCCAUGAUGAGGAGGGAGUAGUUCACCCUCGGGGCUGAGGGUAUGCACAAGUAGCUAUGUGUUUGAUCUCUCUCUCUCGUGUUCUCUCUCGUGUUCCCUCUAUGGCACGAUCUUGAUGUAUCCCGAGCUUUGCUAUUGUAGUUGGAUCUUAUGAUGUUUCUCCCCCUCUACUCUCUAAUGAUGAAUUGAGUUUCCCCUUUGAAGUCAUCUUAUCGGAUUGACUCUUUUAUGAGAACACUUGAUGUAUGUCUUGCAUGGGAUAACCGUGGUGACAAUGGGUUAUUCUAUUGAUCCACUUGAUGUAUGUUUUGGUGAUCAACUUGCAGGUUUCGUGACAUUGGGAACCUAUGCAUAGGGGUUGGCACCCGUUCUUGUCUCUCCGGUAGUAGCUUUGGGGCACUCUUUGAAGUACUUUUAUGUUGGUUGGAUGAAUAUGAGAUUGUGUGAUGCAUAUCGUAUAAUCAUACCCAACGAUACUUGAGGUGACAAUGGAGUAUCUAGGUGACAUUAGGGUUUUGGUUGAUUUGUGUCUUAAGGUGUUAUUCUAGUACGAACUCUUUUAUAGAUCGAUCCAAAAGAAUAACUUUGAGGUGGUUUCGUACCCUACCAUAAUCUCUACGUUUGUUCUCCGCUAUUAGUGGCUUUGGAGUGACUCUUUGUUGCAUGUUGAGGGCUUGUUAUAUGAUCUAUCUAUGUUAUUAUUGUUGAGAGAACUUGCACUAGUGAAAGUAUGAACCCUAGGCCUUGUUUCCUACCAUUGCAAUACCAUUUACGCUCACUUUUACCACUAGUUACCUUGCUGUUUUUAUAUUUUCAGAUUACAAAAACCUAUAUCUACUAUCUAUUUUGCACUUUUAUCACCAUCUCUUCGCCGAACUAGUGCACCUAUACAAUUUACCAUUGUAUUGGGUGUGUUGGGGACACACGAGACUCUUUUGUUAUUUGGUUGCAGGGUUGUUUGAGAGAGACCAUCUUCAUCCUACGCCUCCUACGGAUUGAUAAACCUCAGGUCAUCCACUUGAGGGAAAUUUGCUACUGUCCUACAAACCUGUGCACUUGCAGGCCCAACAACAUCUACAAGAAGAAGGUUGUGUAGUAGACAUCAAGCAGUUUCUGGCGCCGUUGCCGGGGAUAUUAGCGCUUGAAGGUACAUCUUUAGAUCUUGCAAUCGAAUCUUUUUGUUUCUUGUUUUAUCACUAGUUUAGUCUAUAAAAGAAAACUACAAAAAAAUGGAAUUGAGUUUGUCACAUACGCUUCACCUUUUUAAUAUCUUUCGUGAGUAUGAUGGAAAGGAAAAUUGUGCUCAAGUGCUAGAAGAAGAAUUACAUAGAAUGCUUGGCAUAAAAUAUGUGAAUGAUGAGCAUGAUUGCAAUGUUGUUAGUAUGAAUUCCCUGAAUACCCAUGAUGCUAAUGAUAUGCAAAGCCACAAGCUUGGGGAAGCUAUGUUUGAUGGAGAUGAUAUUUUUUGUCCCCCAAGCUUUGAUGAGCAAAUUUACUAUGAUGAAAGCAUGCCUCCUAUCUAUGAUGAUUAUUGUGAUGACACGUAUGCUUUAAAGAAUAAUGAUAACCAUGAAACGUGUCAUCUUGAUCUUUUCAAUCACAUGAUAGUUAUUUUGUUGAGUUUGCUCCCACUACUAUUCAUGAGAAGAAAUUAGCUUAUGUUGAGAGUAGUAAAUUUUCUAUGCUUGUAGAUCAUGAAAAUAAUGCUUUAGGUGCUGGUUAUAUUGUUGAACUCAUUCAUGAUGCUACUGAAAAUUAUUAUGAGAGAGGAACAUAUGCUUGUAGGAAUUGCAAUAAUAUCAAGUUUCCUCCCUAUGUGCUUAAAUUCUUGAAGCUAUGCUUGUGUUACCUUCCUAUGCUAGUUGAUUAUUGUUUUUUCUAUAGUUACAAAAAAUUACAAACUUUCUGUUAGUGCAAGUAGUUUUCAAAUUUGAAUAGUUUAAAUUUUAAUUAUUUGACGAACUAAUUUGUAGACGAAGUGCAUCCAGUUUUUGCACAUAAAAUUUCUUCGCGUUUCAAAUACCAAAACGCAUAAGUACCCUAACAAUUACAAAGAUUCCCUCCGGUUUGUUUGAAGCGGCACUUUCCAGAUAUAUAAGUCUGGAAAGUCACUACAGAAGAAAGUGAUGAUGGUGAAGCCUAUCACAUGCCAGUGUGGGAUCUUUGGGUGUGAAACUUUUUCUUCGCGUGUGUCCCAUUGCGCUGUAACCAUGGACAAUCUUCAUCAUUUAACUGGAUGCUCGGAUCAAUAUUCACUUUGAAUGGAGCAAUUUCAUCAAACUUUUCAUAAUCUUCUGACAUGUCUGUCUUGUCAUCCACUCCCAUGAUGUUUCUUUUCCCUGAAAGAACUAUGUGGCGCUUUGGCUCAUCGUAUGAUCCAUUCGCUUCCUUAUCUUUUCUUUUUCUCGGCCUGGUAGACAUGUCUUUCACAUAGAAAACCCGCGCCACAUCAUUGGCUAGGACGAAUGGUUCGUCUGCAUACGCAAGAUUGUUGAGAUCCACUGUUGUCAUUCCGUACUGCGGGUCUUCUAUUACCCCACCUCGUGUCAUAUUGACCCAUUUGCACCGAAACAAAGGGACCUUCAAACCACCUCCAUAGUUAAGUUCCCAUAUGUCCUCUGUGUAACCAUAAUAUAUUUCCUUUCCCGUGUUGGUUGUUGCAUCAAAGCGGACACCACUGUUUUGGUUGGUGCUCUUCUUAUCUUGGGCGAUCAUGUAAAAUGUAUUCCCAUUUAUCUCGUACCCUUUGAAAGUCAUUAUAUUCGAAGAUGGUAACUGGGACAGCAAGUACAUGUCAUCUUCAAUAUCGCCAUCAUGCAUGGCACAUGUCUGCAACCAACCACCAAAAGUCCUUGUUUGUUCACGUGUAAUCCAGUGGUCAGACUGCUCCGGGUUUUUGGAGUGUAGAAAAUACUUGUGUUCCUCCAUAUACGGAGCCACCAAGGCGGAAUUCUGUAGAACUGUGUACUGUGCUUCAGUGAGAGAAUGCCCGUCCAUACAUAUUAUUUGAUCCCCUCCUAGCGUGCCUUUUCCAUCCAGUCUGCCCUUAUGCCGCGAUUCAGGAACACCAAUCGGCUUAAGAUCAGGAAUAAAGUCAAUACAAAACUCAAUGACCUCCUCAUUUUCAUGGCCCUUCGAGAUGCUUCCUUCUGGCCUAGCACGGUUAUGAACAUAUUUCUUCAAGACUCACAUGAACCUCUCAAAGGGGAACAUGUUGUGUAGAAAUACAGGACCCAAAAUGUUAAUCUCUUCGCAAAGGUGAACUAGGACGUGUGUCAUGAUGUUGAAGAAGGAUGGUGGGAACACCAACUCAAAACUGACAAGACAUUGCACCAAAUCAUUCUAUAACCUUGGUAUGAUUUAUGGAUCAAUUACCUUCUGAGAGAUUACAUUGAGGAAUGCACAUAACUUCACAAUGGCUAAUCGAACAUUUUCCGGUAGAAGCCCCCUCAAUGCAACCGGAAGCAGUUGCGUCAUAAUCACGUGGCAGUCAUGAGACUUUAGGUUCUGGAACUUUUUCUUUGCCAUAUUAUUAUUCCCUUUAUAUUCGACGAGAAGCCACACAGUACCUUCAUACUGAGCAGGCAUUCAAAGAAGAUUUCCUUCUCUUCUUUGGUAAGAGCGUAGCUUGCCUGACCCUGAUGUAUGCCGUCUUUUCCGUGCAUAUGUUGCUGGUCCUCCCAUGCCUCUGGUGUAUCUUUUGUCUUCCCAUACACGCCCAAGAAGCCAAGCAGGGUCAUGCAAAGAUUCUUCGUCACGUGCAUCAUGUCGAUUACAGAGUGGACCUCUAGGUCUUUCCAAUAUGGCAGGUCCCAAAAUAUAGAUUUCUUCUUCCACAUGGGUGUGUGUCUGCCAGCGUCCUUCAGAAAAGGUUGUCCGCCAGGACCCUUUCCAAAGAUUACCUUCAAAUCCUUGACCAUAUCAUGUACAUCAGCACCAGUACGGUGGCGAGGCUUUGUCUGGUGAUCUGCAUCACCUUUGAAUGCUUGCCUUUCUUUCUUACGGGAUGCCUGCUCGAAAGAAAUCGACAAUGUCCCAGGUACACAUUCUUCCUACAACUAUCCAAAUAUAUACUGUCAGUAUCAUCCAAAUAGUGCAUGCAUCCGCGGUAUCCCUUGUUUGUCUGUCCUGAAAGGUUACUAAGAGUAGGCCAAUCAUUGAUGGUCACGAACAGCAACGCCUUUAGGUCAAAUUCUUCCUGUAUGUGCUCAUCCCACGCAGGUACACCUUUUCCAUUCCACAGUUGUAAUAGUUCUUCAACUAAUGGCCUUAGGUACACAUCAAUAUCGUUGACGGGUUGCUUAGGGCCUUGGAUGAGCACUGGCAUCAUAAUGAACUUCCACUUCAUGCACAACCAAGGAGGACGGUUAUACAAACAUAGAGUCAUAGGGCACGUGCUAUGGUUGCUGCUCUGCUCCCCAAAAGAAUUAAUGCCAUCUACACUUAGACCAAACCAUACGUUCCUUGGGUCACCUGCAAACUCCUCCAUGUACUUUCUCUCGAUUUUUCUCCACUGCGACCCAUCAGCAGGUACUCUCAACUUUCCGUAUUUCUUACGGUCUUCUCCGUGCCAUCGCAUCGCCUUCCCAUGCUCUUUGUUUUGGAACAAACGUUUCAACAGUGGUAUUAUAGGAGCAUACCACAUCACCUUCGCAGGAAUCUUCUUCCUGAGGCGCUCGCCCUCGACAUCACCAGGGUCGUCGCAGCUGAUCUUAUAGCGCAAUGCACUGCAUACCAGGCAUGCAUUCAAAUCCUCGUACUCAUUGCGGUAGAGGAUGCAGUCAUUAGGGCAUGCAUGUAUCUUCAGCACCUCUAAACCUAGAGGGCAGACAGCCUUCUUCACUUCAUACGUACUCACGGGCAAUUCGUUGUCCUUUGGAAGCAUAUUCUUCAUCAUUACCAGCAACUUUCCAAAUCCCUUGUCAGAUAGACCAUUCUUUGCCUUCCAUUGCAGCAAUUCCAGUGUGGUGCCCACCUUUUUCUUGUCACCUUCGCAAUUCGGGUACAACAAUUUCUUGUGAUCCUCUAACAUGCGCUGCAACUUCUUCUUCUCCUUUUCACUUGCGCAGUUUCUCUUUGCAUCGGCAAUGGCGACCUAGAUCAUCAACGGGCUCAUCUGAUGCCUCUUCUUCGGCUUCUUCCCGCAUGGCUGGCUCAGCUUCUUCCCCCAUUGUUGUAUCAUCGUAUUUAGGGAACCCAUUGCGAGGAUAGCUAUCGUCAUCCUCUUCUUCUUCAUUGUCUUCCAUCAUAACCCCUCUUUCUCCGUGCGUGGUACAAACAUUAUAGUGGGGCAUGAAACCGGACUCAAACAGGUGGACGUGAAUGGUUCUUGAGUUAGAGUAAUUGUGACCAUUCUUACAGCCAGCACAUGGACAAGGCAUAAAACCAUCCGCCCGCUUGUUCGCCUGAGCCGCAAUCAGAAAAGUAUGCACGCCAUCAAUGAACUGGGGAGAGCAUCGGUCAUCGUACAUCCAUUACCGGCGCAUCUUCAUUACACACCACCGAAUAGACCAAAUUAAUACAAGUUCAUACAUAAAGUUCAUACAUAAAGUUCAUAUACAACACUUAAAUGCAAUAUACAAAUAACUCUCUAGCUAAAGAACUUAAAUGCAACAACAAAUGCGAUCAAGAUCACAACGAAGGUAACAAUUGAUCCAACAGCAUAAUGAUACCAAGCCACACUAUCAAUGGUAUAUUUUCUAAUUUUUCUAAUCUUCAACCACAUUUUCUCCAUCUUGAUCUUGUGAUCAUCGACGACAUCGGCAACAUGCAACUCCAAUUCCAUCUUCUCCCCCUCAAUUAUUUUCAAUUUUUCUUUCAAAUACUCAUUUUCUCUUUCAACUAAAUUUAACCUCUCGACAAUAGGGUCGGUUGGAAUUUCCAGUUCACAUACCUCCUAGAUAAAAAUAUCUAUGUCAACUUGAUGGGCACAAUUUGUCAUAAACACGAAAUGCAACAAAUAGUUUUAAAAGAGAAUAUACCACAUUCGAAUCAUAACACGGACGAGGGCCGACGGGGACGGAUAUCAAAACCAUGGCACUAUGUAUAACAAACAACGUACGUGUAAGAUAAUUAUACAAGUAACUAUAUAUCUAAAUCACACAAACAUGAUUUUUUUUAUAUAAAAAGAUAAGAACAAGAGGCUCGCCACAAGGUGGUGCCGGCGAUGGGUCGGUGCGGACGAUCGACGAUGGUUACGACAGAGACGGGAAGGCACUAAGUAAACCACACCUACAUAUGCAAACUAAGAGUUAUUUUAAGCUCAAAUUGCAUAUAAAUCAAAUAUACUACCACAUAUAAUUCCUCCCAAAUUACUAAAACCCACAAAUUAAUCACUAUAUAAAGCAUUGCAAGAGCUAAUCUAGCAAUGAGAGAUGAAAGGACAAAGUUGCUAACCUUUGUGAUCACUUGAAUGGAUGGGGGCCUUCAAAUCUUGACAAAAUUUGGGCAAAAUGUGUGAUGAGCUCGAGGGGAGAAGAGGAAGAACAGAGAGCAGGAGAGGGGAAAGGGGGAAAAUAGAGCAAGCUGGACGAAGGGUUUAUAUGCAGGACGACCUAUAGUACCGGUUCGUGGUAAGAACCGGUACUAAAGGUGCUGGACGGGCCCCAGUCUGACAACAUCCUGCCACCAUGACCUUUAGUACCGGUUCGUGGCACGAACCGGUGCUAAAGGUUCGCCACGAACCAGUACUAAAGGGAGCGGCCCGCCUAGCCGUUGGAACCGGCACUAAUGGUCACAUUAGUGCCGACUCAAUUUCAAACCAGGACUAAUGAGCUGCACAUUAGACCCUUUUUCUACUAGUGUUAUGUUCUCUUAUUUUCUUUAUUGUUUUGUAUUAAUAUAAGAAACUCAUUGACUUUAAUUAAAUAUGGUAUUUGGCACACAAAUUCUAGGCAUUAUUUUGAUAAUGCCCACAAAGUUUGGAGGCGAUUGGAGUUAAUUAAGUAAUUAUUUAUUUUGAAAAGGCCAUUUUAUUUGUUGUUGGACCAUUUGUUAAUUCACUAGGAAUUUAUGUGUGAGUCAAAUUAAGUUGGUUUCAACAUGACAAUGAUCAGGGGGAUUUAUUGAAUUAUUCCAAUAUUUUAGUUUGGCCGUUCGGAGAAAUAAUAAUUUUGCUUGCCAUUUAAAUUUGAAUUUGACUUGAGUUUUAAUCAAGUGGCAAUUGGCUUAGCGAAAGGGUGAUGACAUGGCAUCACUAGGGCAAGGUUACUGUAGCAUGACACUGGGGGUGUUACACUAUCUCCGCAGGGCUUCGCCUAAGCACUAUGAAAAUAUGACCGAGGGUGUAAACGGUGUAGGGGGCGCCGCACACGGCUAAGACAAUGUUGUGUCCAUGUGUGGCGCCCCCCUCCCACAUAUAUAUAGGUGGGUGGACAGGGGAGCAGCCAGGGGGCGCCCCAAGUAGGUCAGAAUCGUACUUGGGCUCCUGCCCUAGGCCGCCCCCACUUCCUUCUUUUCGCGCCAAGGGGAAGGAAAGAGGAGGUGGUGCCCCCCUCCCCCCCCUUUCCUUGUCAGCACCUUUAGGAUCGCUAGAGCUUGCAUAAUUUGUCAGCACCUUUAGGAUCGACAAAACCUUCUGGUUGCAUCAUAUACAACUCUUCUUUAAGAAAUCCAUUUCAUUUGCCAGAUUUCAUAAUCAUAAAAUGCGACAAUUGCUAACAUGAUUCAGACAGACUUAAGCAUCGCUAUGGGUGAGAAAGUCUCAUCGUAGUCAACUCCUUGAACUUGUCGAAAACCUUUCGCAACAAGUCGAGCUUUGUAGACAGUAACAUUACCAUCAACAUCAGUCUUCUUCUUGAAGAUCCAAUAUUUUCUAUGGCUUGCCGAUCAUCGGCAAGUCCACCAAAGUCCAUACUUUGUUCCCAUACAUGGAUCCUCUCUCAGAUUUCAUGGCCUCAAGCCAUCUGUCAGAAUCUGGGCUCAUCAUAGCUUAUUUGUAGUUUGUAGGUUUGCCUUGGUCUAAUAACAUGACUUACAAAAUAGGAUUAACGUACCACUCUGGUGCGGGUCAUGCUCUGGUCGACCUACGAAGUUCAGUAGUAACUUGAUCUGAAGUUUCUAGAUCAUUGUCAUUUGCUUCCUCUCCAGUUGGUGUAGUCAUCAUAGGAACGGUUUUCUGUAAUGUGCUACUUUCCAAUUCGAAAGAAGGUACAAUUACCUCAUCAAGUUCUACUUUCCUCCCACUCACUUCUUUUAAGAGAAACUCCUUCUCUAGAAAGGACUCAUUCUUAGCAACAAAUAUCUUGCCUUCGGAUCUAUGGUAGAAGGUGUACCCAAUAGUUUCUUUAGGGUAUCCUACGAAGACGCACUUCAACGAUUUAGGCUCGAGAUUAUUAGGUUGAAGCCUUUUGACAUAAGUGUUGCAUCUCCAAACUUUAAUAAAUGACAGCUUAGGUUGCCAAACCAUGGUUCAUAUGGUGUCCUCUCAACGGAUUUAGAUGGUGCCCUAUUCAACGUGAAUGCGGUUGUCUCUAAUGCAUAACACCAAAACGAUAGUGGUAAAUCAGUAAGAGACAUCAUAGAAUGCACCAUAUCUAAUAAUGUAUGAUUACGACGUUCGGACACACCAUUUCCCUAUCGUGUUCCAAGUGGCAUGAAUUGUGAAACAAUUCCACAUUGUUUUAAAUGAAUGCCAAACUCAUAACUCAAAUAUUUGCCUCCGUGAUCAGAUCAUAGAAACUUUAUUUUCUUUUUACGAUGAUUCUCCACUUCACUCUGAAAUUCUUUGGACUUUUCAAAUGUUUCAGACUUGUGUUUCAUCAAGUAGAUAUACCCAUACCUACUCAAAUCAUCUGUCAAGGUCAGAAAAUAACGAUACCCACCGCGUGCUUCAAUACUCAUCGGACCGCAUAUAUCGGUAUGUUUUAUUUUCAAUAAGUCAUUAGCUCGCUCCUUGUUCCGUAGAACGGAGUAUUAGUCAUCUUGCCCAUGAGGCAUGGUUCGCAAGUAUCAAAUGAUUCAUAAUCAAGUGAUUCCAAAAGUCCAUCUGCAUGGAGUUUCUUCAUGCGCUUUACUCCAAUAUGACCUAAACGGCAAUGCCACAAGUAUGUUGCACUAUCAUUAUCAACUUUGCAUCUUUUGGCAUCAAUAUUAUGAAUAUGUGUAUCACUACGAUCGAGUUUCAAAAAUAAUAGACCAUUCAUCAAGGGUGCAUGACCAUAAAAGAUAUUAUUCGUAUAAAUAGAACAACCAUUAUUCUCUGACUUAAACGAAUAACCGUCUCACAAUAAACAAGAUCCAAAUAUAAUGUUCAUGCUCAACGUUGGCACCAAAUAAUAAUUAUUGAGGUCUAAAACUAAUCCCGAAGGUAGAUGUAGAGGUAGCGUGUCGAAGGCGAUCACAUCGACCUUGGAACCAUUCUCGACGUGAAUCGUCACCUUGUCCUUAGCCAAUAUUUGAUUAUUUUUCAGCUCCUGUUUCGAGUUACGAAUAUGAGCAACCGAACCAGGAUCAAAUACCCAAGCGCUCCUUCGAGAAUUAGUAAGGUACACAUCAAGAACAUGUAUAUCAAAUAUACCUUUGUUCACUUUGCCAUCCUUCUUAUCCUCCAAGUAUUUGGGGCAGUUCCACUUCAAGUGACCAUUCCCUUUGCAAUAGAAGCACUCAGUUUCAGGCUUGGGUCCAGCUUUGGUCUUCUUCCCGGGAGUGGCAACUUGCUCGCCAUUCUACUUGAAGUUCCCUUUCUUUCCCUUGCCCUUUUUCUUGAAGCUAGUGGUCUUGUUAACCAUCAACACUUGAUGCUCCUUUUGAUGCGAAGAGCUCAAGAAUCGUUUUGUUCAUCCCUUGCAUAUUAUAGUUCAUCACGAAGCCUUUGCAGCUUGGUGGCAGUGAUUGAAGAACUCUGUCAAUAACACUGUCGACUGGAAGAUCAACUCCCAGCUGAGUCAAGUGAUUAUGAUACCCACACAUUUUGAGUAUGUGUUCACUGACAGAACUGUUCUCCUCCAUCUUGCAGCUAUAGAACUUGUUGGAGACUUCAUAUCUCUCAACUGGGCAUUUGGUUGAAAUAUUAACUUCAACUCUUGGAACAUCUCAUAUGCUCAUGACGUUCAAAACGUCUUUGAAGUCCCAGUUCUAAGCCGUAAAGCAUGGCACACUAAACUAUAGAGUAGUCAUCACAUCGAGCCUGCCAGGCGUUCAUAACAUCUGCAUUAGCUCCUGCAGCAGGUCUGUCACCUAGCGGUGCAUCAAGGACAUAACUCUUUUGUGCAGCAAUGAGGAUAAUCCUUUACGGAACCAGUCCGUGUAGUUGCUACCAUCAUCUUUCAACUUAGUUUCUCUGGGAACGCAUUAAAAUUCAGGGGAACGGUAGCUCGGGCCAUUGAUCUACAACAUAGACAUGCAAAACUAUAAGGCUAAGUUCAUGAUAAAUUAAGUUCAAUUAAUCAAAUUACUAAUGAACUCCCACUUAAAUAAACAUCCCUCAAGUUAUCUAAGUGAUACAUGAUCCAAAUCAACUAACCCAUGACCAAUCAUCACGUGAGAUGGGGUAGUCAUGAAUGGUGAACAUAUCUAUGUUGAUCAUAUCUACUAUAUGACUCAUGUUCGACCUUUUGGUCUCCAGUGUUCCGAGACCAUGUCUGGACAUGCUAGGCUCGUCAAGUUUAACCCAAGUAUUCUGCAUGUGCAAAACUGUAUUACACCCGUUGUAUCUGAAUGUAGAGUCUAUCACACCCGAUCAUCACGAGGUGCUUCGAAACAACGAACUUUGGCAAUGGUGCAUACUCGGGGGAGAACACUUUUAUCUUGAAAUUUAGUAAGGGGUCAUCUUAUAAUGCUACCGCCGUUCUAAGAAAAAUAAGAUGCAUAAAGGAUAAACAUCACAUGCAACCAAAAUUUGUGACAUGAUAUGGACAUCAUCAUCUUGUGCUUUUGAUCUCCAUCGUUACCGGCUCAACACCUUGAUCUCCAUCGUUGCGUCGGGGUCGUCUCGCCAACUAUUGCUAACACAUAGCGAUAAAGUAAAGCAAUUACAUGGCAUUUGCACUUCAUACAAUAAAGAGACAAACCUAAGGAUCUUGUCAGAUGUUGAUAUUACAAAACAUGAUCAUCUCAUACAUCAACAUAUAUCACAUCAUGUCUUGACCAUAUCACAUCAUAACAUGCCCUGCAAAAACAAGUUGGACGUCCUCUACUUUGUUGUUGCAAGUUUUACGUGGCUGCUUUACCUAUGAAAAAACCACAACGGUGAUUCAUCAUGUUUGCUGUUUCGACCUUCUUCAAGGACCAGCCGUAGUCAAAUUCGAUUCAACUAAAGUAGGAGAAACAGACAUCCACCAGCCACCUUUAUGCAAAACUAGUUGCAUGUCAGUCGGUGGAACCGGUCCCAUGUGCGUGGACAUGUAAGGUUGGUCUGUGUUGCUUCGUCCCACAAUACCGCCAAAUCAAAAUAAGAAGUUGGUGGUAGGAAGUCUGAUUAUCAUCACCCACAACUCUUUGUGUUCUACUCGUGCAUAUCAUCUACGCAUAGAGCUGGCUCGGAUGCUACUAAUGGGGAACAUUGCAUGGAAACAAAUAUAUAUAUACGCACACGCAAGAUCUAUCCAUCGAGAUGCAUAGCAACGAGAUGGGAGAGUGUGUAUAUGUACCCUCGUAGACCGUAAGCGGAAGCAUUUAGUAACGCGAGUGAUGUAGUUGAACUUCUUCGUGAUCCAACCGAUCGAGUACCGAACGUACGGCACCUCCGCGUUCAGCACACGUUCAUCUCGGUGACGUCCUCGCCUUCUUGAUCCAGCAAGACGUCGAGGUAGUGGAUGAGUUCCGGCAGCACGACGGCAUGGUGAUGGUGAUGGUGAUGCUAUCUCCGCACGGCUUCACCUAAGCACUACAAAAAUAUGACCGAGGGUGUAAAUGGUGGAGGGGGUGCCACACACGGCUAAGACAAUGUGGUGUCCGUGUGUGGCACCCCCCCCCCCUCCCACAUAUAUAUAGGUGGGGGAGAGGUGAGCAGCCAGUGGGCGCCCCGAGUAGGUCUGAAUCCUACUUGGAAUCCUGCCCUAGGCCGCCCCCCUUCCUUCUUUUGGCGCCAAGGGGGAGGAAGGAGGAGGUGGUGCCCCCCUUUCCUUUCUCCCACAAGGAGGGGAAGACAGGAGGAGGUGGCGCCCCCUCCUUUCCUUCUUCUAGGGACGGUAGCCAAGGAGAGGGCACGCCAGCCCCCUUAUGGGCUGGUGUGUGCCUCUCCUUGGACCAUUAGGCCCAUAGACCUCUCGGGGCCUCCCAGAACCUCUUUCGGUGAUCCGAUGACUAUCCGGUACCCUCGAAACUCUUCUGGUGUCCAAAUAUCAUCGUCCUAUAUAUCAAUCUUUACCUUCGGACCAUUCUAGAGCUCCUCAUCGUGUCCGUGAUCUCAUCCGGGACUCCGAACAACAUUCGGUCACCAAAUCAUAUAACUCAUAUAACACUAUAUCGUCAACAAACGUUAAGCGUGCGGACCCUAUGGGUUCGAGAACUAUGUAGAGAUGACCGAGACACCUCCCCGGUCAAUAACCGAUAGUGGAACAUGGAUGCCCAUAUUGGCUCCUACAUAUUCUAUGAAGAUCUUUACUGGUCGAACCUUAUGACAACAUACGUAAUUCCCUUUGUCCAUCGGUAUGUUACUUGCCCGAAAUUCGAUCAUCGGUAUCUUCAUACCUAGUUCAAUCUUGUUACCAACAAGUCUAUUUACUCGUUCCAUAACACAUCGUAUUGCAACUAACUCCUUAGUCACUUUGCUUGCAAGGCUUCUUAUGUUGUGUAUUACCGAGAGGGCCCAGAGAUACAUCUCUGAUACUCUGAGUGACAAAUCCUAAUCUCGAUCUAUGCCAACUCAACAAACACCUUCGGAGACACCUAUAGAGCAUAUUUAUGAUCACCCAGUUACGUUGUGAUGUUUGAUAGCACACAAGGUAUUCCUCUGGUAUCCGGGAGUUGCAUAAUCUCAUAGUCGAAGGAAUAUGUAUUUCUCAUCAAGAAAGCAAUAGCAAUAAACUGAACGGUCAACAUGCUAAGCUAAUGGAUGGGUCUUGUCCAUCACAUCAUUCUCCUAAUGAUGUGAUCCCGUUAUCAAAUGACAACACAUGGCUAUGGUUAGGAAACCUUAACCAACUUUUAUCAACGAGCUAGUCUAGUAGAGGCUUACUAGGGACACGGUAUUUGUUUACGCAUUCACACAUGUAUUUAAUUUUCCGAUCAAUACAAUUCUAGCAUGAAUAAUAGCCUUUAUCAUGAAUAAGGAAAUAUAAAAUAAAAACUUUAUUAUUGCCUCUAGGGCAUAUUUUCUUCAAUAUGGGGUUGCCUGAGCGUGCCUAAGCGCAUCCGACACGUUAGCCCGGCCCACCCUGACCCCACUCUGUCCCCAUAAAUAUCCCCAAUCAGGAAACCCCAGCUCACUCCACACUCGAUCCGUCUCUUCUCCCCUCUGAUUUCUCCAAUUCGAUCCACUCCGAUGACUCCGGUGACUGCCAUGACCAUAUCAAGCGCCGACAGCCGCUCCUCCUCCGACUACGACGAGGAGCUAGUCCUCUGCAUUGCCGUUGAGAGGUCCAAGAUAGGCACAGGUGGCAGUUUCGGAUCGGCUGCCUUGCUCCAUCGCCGCCGUAGGGAGGACCUCAUCGCUGGCUCAUCCCGUCCUGCGCUUGGCUUCACAUGGGAUACACAGUUCGUGCCUCCCCCACAUCGUCCCCUGCCCUCGCCGGCUGAUGCUCCCCCACGCGGGCAAUGGUGGUUGCUUGUACCCGCCCAGCCGACUCGGGCACGCAUGCCAGAGUCAGAGGCGCGCGCCGCCCGCCGCGAGAGACAACAGGCAAGGGAGAGGGACGCGACGGAGAGCUUUGUCCGCCGCCGCCGCGGGUUGCUGGCGGAGCCCGACGAGGAUAAGCGGCUCCUCGGGUGGGUCUACUGUCGGUUGCUUACCAUGGCGGAGACGGACGCUUGGCAGCUCCGGUGGAAGAACGUGAAGGCUCUCCGGCUUGCCAUCGAGCAGUCCAAGUGCGAGGCCAAGGAGAAGGCGAUGGAGACGGCUCGGCUGGCGAAGCUCAAGCGCCAGCAGGACCGGGCCACCCGGUGCCUCAAGGGCCUCAUCAUUGUCUCCUCCUCAUCCUUCAAUGACGACCACGACUCCUCGUCCGACGAAUUGGACGAUCCUCCAUCAUUCGUCGACGGCUACAGCUGCGCCGACUACCGGAAGGGGAAAGGGUCGGGCCGGAAGUGGUGAAGAUCUGCUUUCUUCAAUUUAAUUUCAAGUAUUAUAUGUAAUAUGAAGUUGUCCGACGUUUAUGUGAACUUUGGUGGUCCUUUGAACAUCCGGUCAUGAUCUUUUGGUGAACAUAUUGUGCUUGCCUAUGUUUGUUUGUUGAUCUACGUAGUUUGAUCAACGUUGCAUGGUUUAGUAUGGAUAUAGGGGAUCAGAUAUGAGAUACAUGGAUGUGAACAACGCGGUUUGAGGAGUGCCUGGUCAGUGCCUGCGGCGCGUCCGGGCGCGUCCACGGACAUUUGAGGGCCCGGAUUUGCCUAGUCCAGAUGUAGAUGCUCUUAUACCACAAACAGCGGCCUAAGUAGGAAUAUGGACAUCAUUUGCUUCAUUUUGAGCCUUCUUAAGGCAAUUUGUAUUCUUAAUUGUCUAAGCUUCAAUCGUUUUCGCUAUAUAAGUUAGAACUUUGUCGUCUAUAUAAUUGUUGUAAUUGUAUGAGUUGUUGUCUAUGUAAUUAUUGUAAUUGUGGAUUAUUUCAUUAUUUGUGUUGUGAUACCAACUGUUAAACAUGAAAGGCAUAUUUCGACGUGUUUGUUAUGUGAAGCUUUGGUGUCCUUGGGAUCAAUUUCUAUGUGGAGGCUAGUGAAACAUGGCUAAAUCUGCAUAGUGCCGAUCGUGGGGUGUGAUGGUGACACAACCCGUCCUUCAUAAUGAGAAUCCCCUUGUGCACUCGUAGCUCACGUAGGCACCCUUUGCUGCAUAAGUUAGCCGCAACCAUGCAUGGGAGUAAUAAAUGACUUCCACUCACCGUAGUCCUAGAAAUAUUAGAAUUUUUUGAUAUUUUUACUAUUUGUAUAUUGUGUUGUUCAUUCGGAUGCAUGUGUAUCUAGGAUUAGAAACUCCAUGUCCCUACUUUAGUUUCGGAACAUUAGACCUUUGUCGGUCAACGAGGUCUACAACAUAGCAUAACCAGUGAAAAAAAUAGCGCGCUAUAGCAUCGCUAAUAGCAGCUAGAGCAUUCCGAGCAAUACCUCGCUAAAUAAAUCAAUGUACAAUCUCCCGCUAAUAGCAUGAUAUAGCAUGCUAAUAGCAUAUUUUAAGGUCCACGCUAUUUUGUCAUAGCACGCUACUUUUUCCAUUGAGCAUAACAGGCCUUCUUCCCGUCAUCAUGUGCGCACAUGUGAUUUCGCUUUGUUCUAUUAAGGGCAACUUCGAUGUGGAUCACCAAAUCGGCCGCAAAUGUUAGGAUCAUACUGGACGGCCCGAACACCUUGGGUCAUCCAAACAGAGCAAUCAAAUACUCGCUGACUGGUUUGGAAGUUUGAAAUACCCUAAAUUAAAACCAAACUCAAGAUAGGUUUGGGGGGGCAGACCUCCUAUUCCCCGUGUUGCGCGCGCACCCCACUUUUGUCCUUUCGACCUCUCCAACUGCAGAGCGGGCGCCCGUUUUUUCUUUCUUAUUCUCGUUUAUUUUUGUUGUUGCUUUUUUAACAAAAAAAUGUUGAAGAAUCAUAGAUUUGAAAAAAAUCAUUUGGAAUCUCAAUUGGUUUCAAAAGUUCAAAAAAUGUAUGCGAUUACAAAAAAUUACUUGCCAAUAAUUUUUUUGUGACUUCAAUUUUUUCAUUAUUUUGAAAAAUAUUCUUGAAUUCAAAAAGUGUUUAUGAAUUCCAAAUAUGUUCCUGAAUUCCUAAAAAUCAUGAAGUAAUAAAAUAUAUUCUUCAAUUUAAAAAAAUGUUCGAGAAUUCGACACACCUUUGCUUUGAAAUAAUUAUAAUGUUUUCAAAAAUUGGCAAUUUGGAAAAUGUGUGUGAAAUACAAAAAGUUCAUGACUUCAAAAAUAUUCAUAAAUUAAAAAAUGCACAAGAAGUUUUAGAAAAGCUCUUGAAUUUUGGAAAAAUGUUCAUGUAUUUAAAAAUAAAUGAAGAAUUGAAAGUUGUUAGCGAAUUAGAAAAUACAAGCAUGAUUUUCGUAAAAGUUAAUGAAUUUGGAAAAUAUUGACAGAUUUGGAGAAACUUCAUGAGUUUUUAGAAAGUUCAUGAAUUUGAAAAAAGAAAAAAGAAAAAAAAGAAAAAAAAAAGGGGGAAAUGUUUCAGGGAAGAUUCUAGAAACUUCCCAAACUUUGUGGUGAAAACCCAUAAUUGGCUGGCCCAUACAGAUGACGAGAUGGGGAGGGCUCCGACCUAGGGGGGAUAGGAUAGUCCGGACACCCGCUUGGUCCACUAUUAGUUUUUUUUUAGAAUAUGGUCCACUAUUAGUUAUAGCCCAUUGUCCAGACACCCGCUGGUAUUCCGUCUACUAUACGCAGACGUCCUCUAGUUGAUCACCAUGCACUUCCUAUUUGGUGUUUCAAGUGCCCGUUACUAGUGUUUUUGCAAAUGGGCCUCUACGCCACGCGUUGGCCGCCCAUGUAAUGUUUUAUUUUUCUAUGAUUUAAUAUGCAAAAAAGCACGAUGUAUUAGAAUCAAGCCAGCGAUCUCCUUAUAGAAGAUUGGCUGGUGUAACCACCCCGCCAACCCGCGCGGAUGUGCUAGUAUUUUCCUUUUUUCGUUUAUUCAUUCUUUUUUAUUUUUUCUAUUUUAUUUUUUUCCUUUUUCGAUUUCUAUUUGUUCUUCACCUAUGAACUGUUUUCAAAUACAUGAAACUUUUUUUAAAAUUGAUGAACCUUUUUUGAAAUUUUAUGAACUUUUUUCAAAAUCAAUGAACAUUUUCCAAUAUCGCUGAACUUUUUUCAAAUUGGAUGAAUUUUUUUCAGUUUCAAUGAACUUUUUUCAAAAUCAAUGAACAUUUUUUUUAAAAGCAUUGAACUUUUUCAAAAUCAAUGAAUUUUUUUCAAAAGCAUUGAACUUUUUUUAAGUUGAUCAACUUUUUCAAAUUUUGGUGAACUUUUUUCCAAAUUCAAUGAACUUUUCAGAAUUGAUGAACCUUUUUCAAAUUUGUGAUUUUUUUUACAUUUGUGAACUUUUUUUCAAAAUCCAUGAACAUUUUUCAAUUCAUGUUUUUCCCUUUUUUCCCUUUUCCAGUUUUUUCGCGACUAGUCAAAAUGUGCCCGAGCGAGGAAAACCAGUCAAACCCAUCGAACCUCGCACUCUGCAUGGGGCUCCCCAGGAGGAGGGGCGCGUGAGCGCCGGUUCCCAAGUGGUGCUAAAGGUGCCACAUAGGAGUUCCCUGAUCACCAUGAUUCUCAAAAAAACAUGCUGGCCCAAGCCCAGGUGGAGCCUGGACAGAAAAGGUUUUUUUUAGAGUACCGAAAAGGUUUGUUGCAAAAAGAAUUGAUUUGUUGUAGUAGGUGUUUUAAUAAAGGGAAUACGUAGAACUUAUCUAGAUGAGAUAUAAUUUGGUCUCAUUCGUUUUGAAAACAAGAACAAAUACAACUCAUGUCAGCACACACGCAUCUUAUAGCCUCACAUUCAUUGACUAUAAAAGAUGAAUGAGACCAAACUAUAUGUCAUCUAGAUGAGUUCUAGCAAAACUGUUUAAUAAAAACAAAGGACGCCGAUAACGCCCACACGUGUGGGCGUUAAGGGGUCUGCGCACACAUUUUGUGUGGUGUUUAAGAGGAUUAGCCCACACGCCUACGUGUGGGCAAAACAACUAGCGCCCACACGCCUUUUUUUUUGCGGUCCCUCUCUCUCACGCCUACGUGUGGGCAAAAUGCAUAACGCCCACACUGUUGAGGAUCGUAGCAGAAAUUUAAAAUUUUUUAUGCAUCACCAAGAUCAAUCUAUGGAGUCAUCUAGCAACGAGAGAGAGAGGAGUGCAUCUACAUACCCUUGUAGAUCGCGAGCGAAAGCGUUCAAGAAAACGGGAUUGAUGGAGUCGUACUCGUCGUGAUCCAAAUCACCGAUGAUCCUAGCGCCGAACGGACGGCACCUCCGCGUUCAACACGUACGGAGCGGAGACGUCUUCCGCGCCUUGAUCCAGCAAGGAGGAGGGAGAGGUUGAGGAAGAGAGCUCCAGCAGCAGCACGACGGCGUGGUGGUGAUGGAGUGGCAGUACUCCGGCAGGGCUUCGCCAAGCUUUUAACGGAGGAGGAGAGGUGUUGGGGAGGGGAGGGGCUGCGCCUUGGAUCUGGUGCUGCAGCCCUCCCCUCUCCCCUCCAUUUAUAGGAGGAGGAGGAAGGGGGCCGGGCCCCUCUAGAUGAGAUCUAGAGGGGGGCGGCGGCCAAGGGGAGGGGGCUUGCCCCCCAAGCAAAGGGGGGCGCCCCCUUUAGGGUUCUCCACCCUCCCCCCAACCCUAGGCGCAUGGGCCCAAGGGGGGAUGCGCCCAGCCCUUCAAGGGCUGGUUCCCUUCCCACUACGGCCCAUGAGGCCCUCCGAGAGAGGUGGCCCCUCCCGGUGGACCCCCGGAACCCCUCCGGUGGCCCCGAUACAAUACCGGUAUGCCCCCAAACUUUUUCGGUGACCGUAUGACAACUUCCCAUAUAUAAAUAUUCACCUCUGAACCAUUACGGAACUCCUCGUGACGUCAGGGAUCUCAUCCGGGACUCUGAACAACAUUUAGUAAUCACUUACAAGUCUUCCUAAUAACCCUAGCGUCAUCGAACAUUAAGUGUGUAGACCCUACGGGUUUGGGAGGCAUGUAGACAUGACCGAGACAGCUCUCCGGCCAAUAACCAACAGCGGGAUCUGGAUACCCAUGUUGACUCCCACAUGUUCCACGAUGAUCUCAUCGGAUGAACCACGAUGUCAAGGAUUCAAGCAAUCCCAUAAACAAUUCCCUUUAUCAAUCGGUACGUUACUUGCCCGAGAUUCGAUCGUCGGUAUCCCAAUACCUCGUUCAAUCUCGUUACAGGCAAGUCACUUUACUCGUUACAUAAUGCAUGAUCCCGUGACUAACCACUUAGUCACAUUGGGCUCAUUAUGAUGAUGCAUUACCGAGUGGGCCCAGAGAUACCUCUUCGUCAUACGGAGUGACAAAUCCCAGUCUCGAUUCGUGCCAACCCAACAGACACUUUCGGAGAUACCUGUAGUGCACCUUUAUAGUCACACAGUUACGUUGUGACGUUUGGUACACCCAAAGCACUCCUACGGUAUCCGGGAGUUACACAAUCUCAUGGUCUAAGGAACCGAUACUUGACAUUAGAAAAGCUUUAGCAAACGAACUACACGAUCUUGUGUUGUGCUUAGGAUUGGGUCUUGUCCAUCACAUCAUUCUCCUAAUGAUGUGAUCCCGUUAUCAAUGACAUCCAAUGUCCAUAGUCAGGAAAUCAUGACCAUCUGCUGAUCAACGAGCUAGUCAACUAGAGGCUCACUAGGGACAUGUUAUGGUCUAUGUAUUCACACAUGUAUUACGGUUUCCGAUCAAUACAAUUAUAGCAUGAACAAUAGACAACUAUCAUGAACAAGGAAAUAUAAUAAUAACCAUUUUAUUAUUGCCUCUAGGGCAUAUUUCCAACACACACGACCUCUUUCAACCACCUACCCCCAUGGUCCUGCACGCCCCGCAUGGCAGUCAUCACACGUUCCCGCAGUUGCCAUGGUCCGGACCCUCUUCAAUGUCCGUUUAACUAUAGUUGACAUGUCGCUUAACUACAGUUGCCAUGCCGGACAACUACAGUUGCCAUGGUUGCUCAAAUGUAGUUGCCAUCUCAGGUCAAGUGUCGGAUGUCAUUUUGAACAACUGCAGUUGUUGCCAUGUAUGGUCUGGUUUACUAUAGUUGCCAUGAUUUGAAAACUUUAGAGGUGGCCACCUUCUAACACUAAGUAGUUUCCAUGUAUGGUAUGGUUUACUACAGUUGUCGUGAUUUGAAAAUUUUAGGAGUUGCCACCUACUAACACUAGGCAGUUUUCGUGUAGCUCUACAAGAGACAUGGCAAAACAACAUGUUCGGGUAAAAGAGAGAGUUGACAUCUGCUUACAAGCACACUAGGGCAGUUGCCAUGUACCCUGCAAAACACAUGGCAACUGACAUGUUCGGAGUAAAAAAAAGUUGUCAUCUGCUCACAAGCACGCUAGGGCAAUUGCCAUGUACCCUGCAAAACACAUGGCAACUGACAUGUUCGGGGUAAAAAAAGAAAGUUGUCAUCUGCUUACAAUAAUGCUAGGGCAGUUGCCAUGUACACUGCAAAACGCAUGGCAACUGGCAGCUUGGAUGUGGAGAGAGGAGACGGACGUGUAGGCGAGAUGGCAAAUGCCCACACACCAGCCCUUGUGCGUGAGUGAAAACUGACGUGUGGGCGAACUGCUAAACGCCCACACACACCGGCCCCUCCCGUGUGGUGAAACAAACGUGUGGACGACCGGAUGAAUGCCCACACACCAGUCCAGUUCUACGUGGCACCACAAACAUGUCAAAACUCAUGCACCCGCAUAUGAACGCAGAUUCACGCGUGUGGGCGAGAUGCAAACGCCCACACGUGUGGGCGUUAGUGUUUCCAAAAACAAAAAGGUUCGUUUUACAGCAGUAGUCAAUACCGAGUGGGUCUCGACUUGGGUUUCGCCUCUGGCUUUAUAGAUCGAGAGACGACACCCCCGCCGCCGGUAUGUUACCACAGCCCCAACAUCCAUCGCACGACCACAAUCGAUCGUCAGCAAAGAGGGAUCCACCAGGCGCGGGAAGGCAGGGGCGACGCGCAACCGACCCACGGCCCGGACGGGAGGGUGAUUUUUCGCUUCGGCGGGUUCACCACUACCAAACAUAUGUCGGCGGCCACCGGCGAGGAGGUUCCACCGAAGGGCAAAAGGAAGCUGGCGGCGUUCGAGGAGAAGCCGCGCUGGCAUUGGGCGGAUCCACUCCCGAAGCCCGGUACCACGACUGAAGACGCAGAGCUGCGGAAGAGGAUCAAGGCGGCGCUGUUGGGCUUCCCGGAGUCUGGCGCGUUGAGCGCGGAGCAGAUGGAGCUAGCGAUUGACAGGAUCAUCAAGGAGUCCAAGCCCGAGACCAAGUCUGUGGCGGCCCCAGGCAUGGUUCGGUUACGGAAUGAACAGAUCCGUCUCUGGUUGAUGUUGAAGAACCCCACCGGCGACGAUAUCCUCGGCGUUGAAGCUGGUGGGGUGUUCCCGCCAGGUUGGAUCCAGCAGAGAGCUCUCAUGCUAGACGCGCGAUGCCAGCGCAAGACGAAGGACGACGAACUAAUCUUGGUGGACAAGAUCCGCAUCGAUGUGAUCACGAAGGGCUACGCUGAGUUCCGGGAGGAGUACGUGAGCCCUGACUCGGACCCGGACGAGGAAUGCUACGUAUCUGAGGAGGAGGUGACUUCUGUCCUCCGGGAGGAGUAAUAAAUGAAAUAGAUGUUGUGCCGUUGUUCUGAGAAGAUUUGGCUCGAUGAAUCCAGCCAAGGGGGGCCGUUGUGUCAACCCUAUUUGUGUUUGACUAUCUAUAUCUAUCUAAAAAGUUAGUACUGCGGAUAUGGUCUUUGGAGGCCGAGCUCCAUGGAGCUCGGUUUUGAAAAUUUUGAAUAUUGUUAAAUUUCGUAUUUUUUUACAUUUCAAAAAAUUCUGAAAAAAAACACACAUAUACAUGAAGGCACAACACACAUGUAUGUAAAUUUUCAGGGCAAAAUAAGUUAAAAUAAGGGCUGUGCAAAAAAAACAAAUCUGAGGCUUUUUAACACAUGAUACUAUUCAUUCUUCCAGGUCAUGAAUUUGUCUUUUUUGUACAGGUCACAUUUCAACGUUUUUCAUUCUGAAAUUUUACACACAUAGACAUAACAUACUUGUUUACUUGCACGUUUUUUUCAGUUUUUUUAAACCAAAAGGUUUGAAUUUGAUUUGUUUUCAAAAAUAGGCCUACAUGGCUCCCGGGAGCCAAACGUCCGCUCUCGUUAGUGCUGCUACUGUCUAUCUAUGAAUCUAUAUCCAUGCUGCCUUUGUUUGCCGCUGAUCCAAACUAGUAUAUGUUUUUAACUUUUUAUUCGUUGUUACUUCAAAGGAACCAUUUGUUUAAGCUUAAUUCGUUUGCGCUAGUCUAAAAAAACUAGACAGAGAGGCCGCCAAGGUCUUUAAUCAUUAAUGCGUCAUAUAUGUCUGAUCGCUAUAAUAACUACUACUAUGACGAUCAAAAACAUGGAAAGGCACUUUAGCAGAGUUGUCAUACGCGGCGUGAUCAUCAUAUAUUAUGGAGCUCACACCAAAAAUGGCUUGUACUCUUCAAAUAGGUUGUGGAGGCUUCAUUUGGAGCUCGCUCCAAAGCAAACCGCAUACAUGAAAAUCCUCGCACCAUGACCGGGUCUUCAAGACUGAUGCCACAUCUACAUGCACCACUGCGUAUAGAUAACCAUAUACGAGGUGCCGAUGUGACUAUCAACCACCCCGCCAUUAAAUGGCACGCGCUCCUCAUAUUCUCGUGGUUUUCCAUCGGAUAGCCGCCCCGCCACAUCACUGUCGUCGAGCCUUCUGUCGCCCUGGCUAUAAAAGCUCGACGGCGAGGCGUGCCCAUUACCUUCUCCUCCCUUUGUCGUGACAAUACCAUCGCGAUGUUUCGGCGCGUACUAGCUAAACUUGCUCGUGGAUGCCAACGCGGACAUCACAGGAGGCGGUGCUCCAUGUGGCACACUAGUUGCACGAGCCAGAGCAUCAUCCUCCCAUCAUGGUUGGGCGGGUGGAGCCUCCCGUGGCGGUAGCCAUACGGGAUAUGGCGCCUCGGGUGUCAUCGUCCCCAUCACCGCAUCUCGUCGGAGUAGUCCCCAUGGCGGCUCCUGUCAACGGAGCCCCUGCCUUCGUGUCACGCCACUGGUAUGACCCCAACAUGGAAUCGGAGGAGGAGGAUGCCCCCCCUAGCCCUGAGCAUGAGCAUGUGCUCGAGCUCUCCGUCCUCAAAGCAACCCGCCCCGGGAGUCCCGCUCCACCACCACGGCUAUCCCUCGGGUGAGCCUGGGUCCCGAGGGUCUUUGACCUUCGGGUCCUCAAAGAGAGAGUUGUCUCUAGAUAGACGGGUCCCUGACGCCUGAGUCACGGGGUCUUUAAACCUGGGUCCCUAGAAUCUCCUGAGUGGCAAUGAUCACAUUGACUUUGUGGGUAUAAGUACCCACAUUCUUCUUCCUCCAACCCAAAUCCUUGACUUGAGCUUCUCCACCAUUGUCAAACUCUAAAAGCUCGAUUGCUCUUCAUCCCUCCACUCAAACUCCACCAAACUUUGAGAAUUGAAAAAUAAUCACCCGUUGUACACUUCCACUAAACCAAUUUGUGAUCCACAUACUUGUUCUUCACCAACACUUGUUACUCUUGGAGAUUUGGAACUCCUGGGCAAUAGGAGUGAAGGCCCGAAAGCCUCAUUGCAUGUGGUAUGCUCUCGGAAGUUAGGUUCAAUGGUCGCCUUCAAGACCAUCCAUGAGUGGUGAUGCUCAUCCAUUGGGGUGAGUCAAAGAGAGACUAUGUGAGACACUUGAUGGUGUUAUGAAACUUUAGCUUUGGCACCUGCAGAUUAACACUCGAGUACAAACUUUGAGAUACACCAGCAUCUAGGACUUGUGUGGUUUAUCUUACCGUACAUUUACUUGUGUCUGCUUCUAGUUAGCUUGUUCAAUGGAAGACUUAUUUUAUCCACGUUAUUCCUAUAUUUGGUAAUUAAGCUAAAAUUUGUCAUGUUCCAAGGGCUGAUUCAAGAGUUUCCAUAAGGGCCCCUACUUUUGUGAUAUUUCGAGAGCAAGUGCGACUGUAUCCCUUGAAUUCACUAUAAAACCCCAUCCCACAUCCAAGGGGCACAACACCUUUAGCCGCUACCGGGAGCGCGUCGAGGCAGAGCGUCGGCAAUUCAAGAGGUCAUCUAACCUCUCUUGACGUGGGCAAUGCCGGCAACGAGGCACAUGGCCAUCUCAUCGAAGGGCUCACCGAAUCGAAGUGGGAGAGGAUCAAGAAUUAGACCGACGGUAUUCUUAGUCCAAAUUUCGUUUAAUAGAUGUAAAUUUGCAUCAAAUUUGUGUUGGAACUUUUUUUAUCCAAAAGAUGGGUUAGAAAUGACAUUUUUAUCCUUUAAAUUUUAGGUGAUCGGUUAGAGAUGCACUAAAAAGCAAUGAAAACUAGGUGAGGUGUUUUGCAUUUUGCAUAGUGGCUUUGAACUAGACGAAACAUACCAAAAACCAAUUAAUCCAUCAACAAAUAAACACAUUUUGAGAAUUUACGGGUAUUUUAGACAUGCUCAGCUUACAGAUAGGCAAGUCAUCUUUCAGCUCAAGCACAUGUAAAACGAAAAUUACUCAAAAGCCAAAUCACGAAUGAUAGCAGCAACUUCAAUAGCCUAUGGUUCAGACAGUUAUAGGAAAAAGAAACUUCAGGUGUAAGUGGGGGUUUGAUAUAUGGGGAGCAAUCGGGUCAUAGAAAAGCUAAAAUUAGUUAUUACGACAUCCACUGAAUCCACUCCAACUCAACCUCUUAUUAAACAUUCCACAAUGCGGAGACUGCCGCUCCGCUAUGGGAGUUUGUUCUCCACUCUCAAAACUGCAAGGAAGAAGUAGAAAACUUGAAAGAAAUACAAUCUACACUGCCGCCUCUAUAUCUCAGCGCCAAGCUCCAACAUCAAGGUGUGGUUCGACGCAUCGCUUCCAGGGCCGCUGAACUGGAUGGGACCUGCCAUGACAAGAAAGAAUGACGAGUUAGUUUAUUUCUCUAGUACUCCCUCCGUCCUGAAAUACUUGUCGGAGAAAUGCAUAAAAAUGGAUGUAUCUAGAACUAAAAUUCGUCUAGGUACAUCCAUUCCUCCAACAAGUAUUUCCGGACGGAGGGAGUAGAUGUCAGUCGUUGCUGGCAAUUUUCCUACUACAUACCAGGGCUGAUGUAUCGGUUCUUGCUGGCCCAUUCAUCUCGCAGCGAGGCAAACUUCUUAAAUGGCGCAGCUGAAAAAUGGCAUUGCAAGAGAUCAGGUUUUCGUAGGAGUACAUAAACCUCUUAGCUGUUAGUAACAGACUUGAAAGGUCUUCAUACCAUCAAGUUCCACCAUAGCCUUCUUGAUCACUGGCUUGUUCUUGCCUGGUUGCCAAGAAUGAAAAGUUAGAAUUUGGCACUAAUAGUCCAAAGUAUGAUUAUUAAUAGUCCAAAAUAUGAUUAAAAUGGAUUUCAUUAUCAUAUUUACUAACAGUCAAAAGAAAUCGGCUGGUACAUAAUUGGGUCCAAAGAACAAGUACGUAUUUGGGUAACCUUCAGGUCAAAAGUAGAAAAAAUGCCUUGAAAACGAGGUAUUGUGGAAACUUACCAUGCCUUCUCUCAACAUCCAUCAACGCAGUCAGUGCAGUUCCUCCAACAGUCCAUUCUUCCACAGGAGCAGCCAG